Small nucleolar RNA from Hibiscus syriacus, 70 nucleotides. RefSeq annotates it as small nucleolar RNA Z105. Lineage: Eukaryota; Viridiplantae; Streptophyta; Magnoliopsida; Malvales; Malvaceae. The transcript has a single exon. The record is from RefSeq and is a predicted model, not a curated record.
AAGGCAUAAUGAGGACGAAUUAGUUGAAGUCUGAGAUUUGUGAUGACCAAUCACCUCCUAAUCAUUCUGA